Molecule: ribosomal RNA, 461 nt
Filed under: uncultured bacterium
Lineage: Bacteria
Description: bacterial SSU rRNA
Rfam family: Bacterial small subunit ribosomal RNA
Source: RNAcentral
AGUACAGACGAGUUUGAUCAUGGCUCAGAACGAACGCUGGCGGCAUGCCUAACACAUGCAAGUCGAACGAAGCCUUCGGACUUAGUGGCGCACGGGUGCGUAACACGUGGGAAUCUGCCCUUCGGUUCGGAAUAACAGUUAGAAAUGACUGCUAAUACCGGAUGAUGACGUAAGUCCAAAGAUUUAUCGCCGAAGGAUGAGCCCGCGUAGGAUUAGGUAGUUGGUAGGGUAAUGGCCUACCAAGCCGACGAUCCUUAGCUGGUCUGAGAGGAUGAUCAGCCACACUGGGACUGAGACACGGCCCAGACUCCUACGGGAGGCAGCAGUGGGGAAUAUUGGACAAUGGGCGAAAGCCUGAUCCAGCAAUGCCGCGUGAGUGAUGAAGGCCUUAGGGUUGUAAAGCUCUUUUACCAGGGAUGAUAAUGACAGUACCUGGAGAAUAAGCUCCGGCUAACUCCGUG